GGACAACAACAUUAAUUGAUUAUUCAAGAGGAGAUGUUUCGUAUGCAAUAUUGAAUAGUACUAUACAUGACACUGGAUAGAUAUUUAACCUAGUACUGUCCGAUGUAGCAUACCAAACAUCUCUCUCGUCACUUAGUUACGAAAUAAGCAAGGAACAUCAGAAAUUAAGUUCAGAAUAACAUAGUAGCCAAAGAAAUAAUGGCAGCCAUUGCAGCUGGAACAUACAGUGCCAUUCCUGAACUCUCCAUUCCAGGUGCAGGUGCAGGAGCACCAACAAUUUCAGUUGCAGCCAUAGCUCCAUUUUCUCCAAAACUCAUGAUCAGAACCAUGACAUAAACAGUGAAGAAUACACCCGUUUUUCUUCCUUCCAUUCUUGUGUAGAGAUUCUUCUCAGUUGUUUCAAGAAUACUUUCGG
Molecule: long non-coding RNA, 415 nt
Filed under: Olea europaea (common olive)
Lineage: Eukaryota; Viridiplantae; Streptophyta; Magnoliopsida; Lamiales; Oleaceae
Description: long non-coding RNA (OEUR_LNC006412)
Source: RNAcentral